GUACCAAAAAAUUAAAAAAAAUAAAAACCACAUGAAUGAGUAGAUGUAAAGGAACGAGUCACAAGGUUACACUAUCAUCCAUUCUCUGAAUUCCUCUGAGUCACAGACCAAAAUGACAGUGAUUUAUGACCCACUGACAAACGGAUUUUAGUAUAAAUAAGAAACCAGAUACCAGUUGAUGCGGAAAGAAUUAUGGGUAACACAAAAUAAUACUUGAGAUCAAAAUGACAGAGUAAUGAUCAGCAGCAAAAUACAGACUCUCUGGGACCUUGAAUCCAGACACACAGAAAAUAACAACUUGGAAAAGAGAAAAAGAAAAGCGUUAGAUCUCCAGGAAUUGGAAAGAAACUGAACAUUAGAAACUGCAGAGAAGCUGGACUAAUGGAGCACAAUGCAGAGGAAAGAAUGAAGCAAACGGGAGAGCUCACUCUGGCUCCUGGGGAGAGGAACCUAUCUCUACAGACACAAGGAAUCACAGCGGGCCACAGGCUUUGGGGAGUUCUGAGGAGUAAAAGGUCCAGUGCCACUUACUUGAACAGAGACCUCUGGGAGGAAACGAGUCUCUCGGAGGGAGGCCUUAUGGCUCAACUUACGGCUCUCUGUUCUGCAGCAAUACCUCCAGAAAGGCCCCAAGGCCUAGUCAAUUCUCUUUCUGCACACGUUUCAUGCAUCACCACGGAAUUAAACUGUAACCCUGUGCCACACCUGGACAUCUCCUGACACAAUCAGGGAAAGGCUCCAGACCCCCUUUCCAGUCAGGCCCUCGUGACCUCGUCAGAGGAGCUCCCACCCGCAAAAGAGCUCCCAAGAUGCCUUUGUAAAUCCUCGCCUCCUAACCCUAAGCUGAGGUCGCUAACCCUCCUUCUGGCUUUGCUAAGACCCCAACUCCUCUCCAGCUGUUUCCCUCUAUAUCUUAGGACUCUGCCUAAUGUAAAAUGACAAGAG
RNAcentral lists this long non-coding RNA (945 nucleotides) under Heterocephalus glaber (naked mole-rat). RNAcentral's name for it is "lncRNA (ENSHGLG00000029156.2)". The record is from RNAcentral. Lineage: Eukaryota; Metazoa; Chordata; Mammalia; Rodentia; Bathyergidae.